RNAcentral lists this ribosomal RNA (507 nucleotides) under Desmogramma ljunghi. RNAcentral's name for it is "partial 16S ribosomal RNA". It matches the Rfam family "Bacterial large subunit ribosomal RNA", at positions 1819 to 2600 of the family's 2925-position model. The record is from RNAcentral. Lineage: Eukaryota; Metazoa; Arthropoda; Insecta; Coleoptera; Chrysomelidae.
GUCCUUUUGUAAUUUAUUUAAGGUCUGACCUGCCCACUGAAAAUUGAAUGGCCGUGGUAUUUUGACCGUGCUAAGGUAGCAUAAUCAUUAGUUUCUUAAUUAGAAACUGGAAUGAAAGGUUGGAUAAAAAAAUAGCUGUCUCUAUUUAAUUUUAUUAGAAAUUUAUAUUUAAGUGAAAAAGCUUAAAUUUUGUUAAAAGACGAGAAGACCCUAUAGAGUUUGAUUAUUAAUUUUUUUUGUUAUUGUAGUAUUUAUUUAAUUAAAAAUAAAAUAAUUUAAUUGGGGUGAUUAAAAAAUUUAAAAAACUUUUUUUAUUUUUCUUCAUUGAUUUAUGAAUAGUUGAUCCAUUAAUUUUGAUUAUAAGAUAAAAUUACCUUAGGGAUAACAGCGUAAUUUUUUUAAAGAGUUCAUAUUAAAAAAAAAGAUUGCGACCUCGAUGUUGGAUUAAAAUUUAUUUAUGGAGUAGAAGCUAUAAUAUUAGGUCUGUUCGACCUUUAAAAUUUUACA